AGCUGGGGGGAGCUGGCCAAGAGAAGCCACCUCACUCAUGGGCCAUGCGGGAGAUCGUCCCUCUCACUCUGGGGGACUCCGGUGUCCGAUUUCUCCAGCCCCUGCAGCCUGGCUGGCGUCAGUUUGCCCGCUAAGCCAGCUCCUCCCAGACAGGCAGGCUCAACCAUAAAUUUUAAUUCAAAACUUUUCCUUUUUAUUAUUUUCAAAUGCUCAAGGCCCUCAAUGCGAUGCGAAAUUUCUCCCCUGCUCUGACCUGCAGAAGAGCAGGGUUUCCCUGCCAGUUCCCCUUCCACAAGGGGUGCCCCCUGCCCCCCGCACACAUACACAUGAAACUGGUGAUUCUUUGCAUCUGUGGAUACUGUUCCAGCGCGAGGCCAGUGACUUCACCCAGCUAAACUCUUCGUGUGGUGGCUCCUUCUCUGGGGCCAAAUGGAAAGCAAAUCUGGAUAAUCGUGGGUAAUGUCAGUGCGCCGGCAGGGGCUCAGGACUCCGCCUGCACAGGCCGCCUCCUCAGGGAAGCCCAGGAAACUUGUCCAGGCACGAAUGGCCGCUGCUCCAUGGCCCAUGAGCUCACCUGCAUGCCUGGGCCGUUGUGUGUCUUGACUGCGCGCCUGAAGCCGCCGUGUGCCCAGCGGGGACCGAGCGCUUCCCACCUGGCCUCCCGCCUGAAGUACGGGAAAACCUCAGCGGAAGGCUUGCGUCGCACCUGGAGACAGUUCCUGGUUUGCACCCCCCAACCCAUCCUCUGGGGUGCGAGCCCAAGCAUGGGAUGGUCCGUCCUUGAGAUCACGCUGCCCCAGGGAGGGACCACUGUUGGCCCAGAAAUCCUGGGGAAGUCACAUUGCUCUGGUGAGCCAGAGAAAUCGGAUCCAGUGGGUCUAGGGCCUGAGGUUCCGUGUUCCGAACAAGCCCGUCGGGGGCUGCUGACGCUGCCUGCUCUGGGGUGAACCACACUGAGGGACAGUAGGGCCUGGGGUGGGGGGGGGGCAGGGGUCGGCUCUGACCGGCUCUAGAGCUGGGUCCCAGCCCAGCUAGAGCUUCCAUGGAAACAUCUCUAGUGUAGAGGCGGGAAGAGGAGCCCUAGAGUGCGUGGAGGGAUGCAUAGCGGCGUGACCCCGCACGCUGUGGCUCGCGGGUAGCAAUGAUGUUGCCAAAAAGCCAUCAGCAGAGGCGGCCUCCCACCUCCCUGCCCUCCUUGCCAGACUCUACUGUGCAGCAGGGAAACCAGAGUCUGUUCCCUUGUCGGCUCGCUCUGUGGCUCCCGGAGGCUAGGCCAUCCUCUCCCAGAGGCUGGAGCAACCCUCCAUCAGGGGAUGGACCACCUGUCCGGCCUGAGCCCCUGGCUGGCCUCCCACCCGCUCUCAGGCCCGAGCCCAGGGACACCUCGUCAUCUCAGAGCCCCAGCCACAGACACUUCCUCUGUGUGGUCUCCCCAACUUCGGCUAGAACUCUUGUGCUCUCCGGGUCUCAGAAUGCUUCGUACCCCUGCCCAUCUCUGGAGCUUUCCUUGGGGUGCUGUCCCUGUCUCCCCUGCCAGCCUCUGGGCACCUCAAGAAGACCACCCGCCAGGCCUGUGGCCGGCAUCCAGCCGAUGCCUGCUCAAGACGGAAAUCCUAACGAGACAGGGAAGUGCCACCCGGUUUAGCUCAAGGGGGCCCAGCGGGCAGGGUGGAGAGUUACUGCCAGGAGUGGAGGGGAUGUCCAGCUCUCGCGCUCACUCUGACACUCCCCCUGCUCCUUCCUCAAGGAAGAAGCCCCAUGUCUGCAGCCAGCCCCAUGAGCGGGGCCAGUUGGUGGGAACCUGAUGCUGAGGGUCCCUUGACGAGGAUGCGUGUCCCCAACAGUGAGGCCAGACCGCUCAUGUUGGAACACGUCUCUGUAUGAAUACUGAAGUCAAGUGAGGGUUGAUUCUCAAUGUGAAAUGGUCUGUAGGCGUUAAAUUCAGCAGGAAUUCCUUGUAGUUUUUUUACUCCCUCUCUUUGAAGGAGGGGUGUGGCUUAAGACUUUCCCUAGGGUCUGGGUCCUAAGUAAGCCCAGUCCCUCUAGAGGUCCUGCAGACACCCCCAGGCUGGGGAUCGGGGGCCGGGGGGCUGUGGGGGCUCAGGGGCAGGGAGGGAAGCCUUUUCUCCUCUUCCGUUGUCUUCUCAGUGGAGCAGCAAUGUGCCCGUCUAGAGCAGCUAGUGGCUUCUCUUUCCUGCCUCCGAGCUGACCUCUUCCUCCAGCUCCCUCCUCUCCCAGAGGGAAGGGAGUUCCCUUCAGGGUAGCUCAAGCCAGGAGCUCAGGGACAACCACGGGGAAGUCAUGACCAAGAAAUCAACAUACUGUUUGACAGCGGCCCUCCGGGGGCGAUUAUACAACUGAUCCUGGGUGUUGUACAGCCCAAAGCCCCUUCCAGGGGCCUGGCUGGUGCUGGCCAGAGUGCUCAUGCCGGGGGGGCUGUCCGCCCCCACCCCACCCGCAAGUGUAUGAGUCCCUCUAACCCCAGGUGUCUUCAAUGCCCGGCCCCUGCCCGGCGCCCCAGGAAACACACCUGCAGCCUGCAGCCUCCUGACCUGGGCUGGGCCAGGCAGGUGCGUGCUCCCGGCGCCCCGCCACUCCACAUUCCACCUCGCCUCACCUCCGGGCUGGCUCAGACAAGCCGCUACCCCCAUCCCCCACCAGCUCCGGAUGCCCAAACAGAGGCCUCUCCCUCUCCUCAACUGGGCGUAAUUGCAACCUGAAUGUGUGUGUCGGGAGGGUCCAGGGAGAGCGUGUUAACAAGCCAGGAGGCUCCUGCUCUGAACGCUUUGGCAAUCAGGACUCGGGCACCGUGCGUAAGGCCGAGAAGCAGAGAGAGUGUAGGGACGGAGCUAAUUAAGCUGUAAACCAUCCCCAGAGCCCCAGUGCAUUUGUAAUUACGCUCUCUGAUCUCAGAAGCCCCUCGGGCACUCCGGGAGAGCUUGGGGUGGGGGGAGGAAGGGGGAGCCGAUGAUUGAGAAGUUCAUCAGGGCUUUGAGAAUGGAUUUUCAUGAAACUGACAUUUACACCGUUCUUGGAGAAUCUGCUCCCUGAAAAGAACCAUAAACCAUGCCUAAUUCUGCCACGUGAUCUGAGGAGCUCCAAUCGGCCGGCCCCAGGGGGUCCUGACUUGUUUUAUGUAGGUCAGGGGACCCCUGUGUGGUAUGAUUUUGGAAGCCCCCCCUCCCUUGCUCCUGCCCACGGAAAUACCCCAGCUCAACGCACUGGUGCUGAAAAUCGUAUAGCUGUUUAAUUCUGGUGCUUUUAACCUUGCCAAAACCCAAACAUAGUGGCUUGCCUUCCCCACGCUGCACCUCAGUGGGAAGGAGAGUAACCCAGUUUUAAGGGUGGGACCACAUUGCGGUAGUCCCAACCUGUCCUCUUUUUUUGAACAGUCAACAAAUCAAAACACGAUCUAAUACUUAGGUCUGAUUUUUUCCUGUGGGUAAACGGAGGACCCGAAAGAGCCGGGGACCUCGUUCGAGAGCACACAGGCAGAAAGGUGGCAGAGCGGGAACGGCAGCCAAGUCUGGCUUCAAAUCUAGCAGACUCUGCAGUUUCUAAGAAGCUGAGUGAAAAAGAAGAAGCUGGAAUGCUGAGGACUUGUCAAGCAUCGUCCUGCAGAGGCCGGGACUGGGGAAGGCUUCGAUCCACAAACGGCAGGAGCCCGAAGUCGGCUUCCAUGAUCACCUUUGGUCAUUUUUCGAUUUGUUGAUUGUUAGAAAAAAUCCAGGCUGGGGACGUAGCCUUGCUACAAAGGAUAAAUUACAAGCAGAAACUCUCACGCCGAUACGCUGGCAUCUGUUAAGCCCAUCCUCUCGCGCAGCAACUGGCCCUGCGGACAACUGACUCGGGUCUGGGCUGAGCACAGGUUCCUCCAGAAACCCCUUUCCCCAGACAGUCCCACAUAACUAAAUAGCAGCAGCUCAUCUGGGCUCAACCUUUGAAGAAAACCAGAUAAUACUGGGCUCAACCCAGUUUAGGCAGUGACUAUUUCUUCUAAAAACAAAGAAGGAGACAGACAGAAUUCCUGCCUGAAUCCGUUCACCCUGCCCCUGCGGCCAAGCCCCGGGAAUUCUGCCCUGGCGGGGAAGAUUCAGACAGACCUCAGCACUUUUCUGAGAAACGGGGAUUUGGGCCAGAAUCUCCUCCCAUGAUUCUGGUUCCCAGAGCGGCCACAAGGCACGUCAGCGGGAGCCGGCCCUCCAGAGCCUUCCAAGUCCCCAGAGCAAAGCUCGGGAAUCUUGAGACUUUUUUCUAUUUUUACUACAAAUCAUAAAGGAGAAACAACUAAUUUUUCAUCAAGCUUUACUGUGAAUUGAAGAGUUGAGGAACACAGCCCGGUCCCUGGCAUCAAGUAAGCGCCCCCAAAGUUGUCAUUAUCAAAAGAGUACGUUUCUGGCUAUCAAGGUAGCUCUCUCAUUGUAAACAAACUUGUAAAACCCUGAGACGUACAAAGACGUCAUUAAACUCAUCUAUAAUCCAAACUCCCAGACACGGCACCUUGUGGAUCUAUCUCCUUCCAGAUCUUUUUCUACCUGUAAACUCAAUGUAUCGAUCAUAUAGACUUGGUACGUCGAUAUCACACACCGUAAGUGGAACAGAUCUACUCGCAAAGAUGGGAUCGCGGCGUAGGUGCUGUUUGACUCCAGUUCCGCUGUGCGUCCUUCCAUAAACCCCUCUUGGUGGUAACAAGCAUUCUGUAAUAACAUAACAGCUCUCCGAUGAGCAUCCUUGCACAAGGACGCACAUCCUUGUCCAGCCUUCAAUCUCUUGCCUGAUGAUUUUCUCUGGAUAAUUCCCAGCAAUUGGGCUGUCAGAGUUAAAGAUUUUAGGGACGGGGUGUCCAACUGUCCUCCAGAAGGAGCACACCAGUUUCCCUCCCGACAUCUUUUCGGGUGUCAACAACACCUUGACAUGCAUUGACCCUCACUAUUCAUGGGUUCUGAGUUUUUGUAUUCACAAGAAUUGGUCCAGAAAGUCUCUAUAGAGAAGACAACCCAAACUUUUUAUCUUUUCACCUGUGAUCCCCCUGGUACAUAGUAAACACUCAAUAAAUGCAGUGCAUCUUGGAUGAAUAGGAAGAAAGUCAGAGGUGGUUAUAUAGUUUGGACCCCGGGUCAAGAUCCUGGAGUUUUUGUUUUCUCUUUUUUUAACCGGUAUCUUUCCCUGUCCUGCCUUCAGCUGGUUCUCACAGGCAUCUCUCGGAGGCAGAAACACCCCUCCCAGAAAAGCAAACUCCAGAUGUCACCCUUGAUCUUUUACCACUCAUUAAAUCGUAAGGCCACCAGUGGCAUUGAUGUAGCAUGGAUAAUCGUAUUUUCCCAACUGAAGAGUAGGAAACAACGAUGUUAUCUGAUUUAUAAAUCUAUUUAUGUGGAAGAAGAAAAAUAUUUGCAGAAGAAUAAUAUUUUGUGACACGUGCAGAUUAUGCAGAGUUCAAAUUUCAGUGUCCAUAAAAAUGGGGUUGGAAUGCAGCCACGCCCAUUUGUUCCCGAUCGGCUAUGGCUGAUUCCGCUGUUUUACCACGGAGUGGAGUAGUAGCUAUGGGAAAGGGACAGCCCCAAAACCUAAAACAUUUACUCCCUGGUCCUUACAGGAAAGUUUGCCGGCUUCUCGCCUAGAGGUAGGCUACUUGGUGACAGCAUACUUUAAUUGUAUGUGUGUGCACACAGAGACACGAGUAGUGCAAAAACGCUUUUGUUGAGAAAAGCGGUCCUCCAACUACUUGGCCUCAGAAUCCUUUUCCAUCUUGAAAAACACUGCAGACCUAAGAGAGCUUUUGCUAAAUGUGGGUUGUAUCUAUUGAUAUCUGCCGUAUUUGAAAUUAAAUCUAUGAAGCACUUAAAAAUUGAUUAAUUCACUGAAAAUAACACAAUAAUCCCACAUCAUAUUAAUAUAUGUACCACAUUUUUAAUGAAAACAAAAAAACCCCCUAUAUUUUCCAGAGCAAAAAUGUCAGUGGAGAGGAGUGGCAUAAUUUUAAGUAUUUGCAAAUCUCUUUGAAAUCUGGGUAAAUAGAAGACAGUGAGAUUCUCAUCACUCCUUCUGGGGUCACUCCAUUGAAACCUAACAUGUGACACAGCCUGUGGAAAACUCUACCAUGAGGGCAAAAAAAAGAAAAAUAACAUCUUAGUAGUACUAUAAAAAAUAGUUUUGGGGCACCUGGGUGACUGAGUGGGUUAAGCCUCCGCCUCGGGACAUGGCUCGGGACAUGGUCCCAGGGUCCUGGGAUCGGGCCCCGCAUCGAGCUCUCUGCUCAGCAGGGAGCCUGCUUCCUCCUCUCUCUCUGCCUGCCUCUCUGCCUACUUGUGAUCUGUCUGUCAAAUAAAUAAAUAAAAUCUUAAAAAAAAAAAAAGUUUUGACAUAGUGGAUCCUCUGAAAGUUUCUUGGUGAACCCCAGGGGGCGCCUGGGCCACACUUUGAGAACUACUGCUUUAGAAACAGUGUUCGCAGGGUGAAGUCUCUGUAAGAGGGCUGACUGAGCUGGAGCCAAGAGCACACCUUUGUCCCUGCUCCCAACAAGGUAAGCAGAGUCUCGGAGAUGGAAAAGGUUAGGACAACCCGGGCUAUCCCCUCACACCUGGGCUGGGGACAGCUGCUCACUUGCAGCCCCAGCAGCCAAAGUCGUGAGAGAAGCAGGCAGGGCUACAGAGGUGACCACUCCUCCUCCCCCGGUCCCAGCCUUUCCACAGGCUUCCUCCUUCUUCCUCCUGAUUUCUCCUCCUCUCUACCCUCUCCAUGAGCUGGGGGAGAGAAGCCAGGUGACACGCCACCCUUUGUGUCAUUGGGGAGGACCAGGUCAGUUUGCAUUUCACACGGAUCCUUCCUUCAGCGGGGGAGCCCUUCCCCAGAGCCUGCACGCCAGUCCCUUCCUGGGGCUCCCCAGGCGCCAGCUGCACCAGCAUCUUCACGAUCCCAACUUCUCUCACAUGGUACGUGAGAGUCAGUCAAUUUCCCAGCUUGCUUUUUGCUCUUUUUUCAUUUUUAAAUUGUUGUUACUAUUGUGCAAAGACAGCACAGUCUGUCUACAGACCCUGAGCACAGAAGUAAAGUGUCCUGAGCAUGAAGGGGAGGUCUAAGACGGGCUAGAAGCAGAUUGCUGCUUCCAGCUUGGCGGGAUUCUGAUGAGAGCAUGAGUCUGCCUGUACCGUCCACUCACUAAGUACCAAGUACAAUGUCAAACCCUGAGACCGCAGAUUGCACACCCCGCCAUCUGCUUUUCCCCUUUCCUUUCCUUCUAGAAGCCACAGUUGUCAGUGAGGCACGUGGCUUGCCAGUAUAGAGACAACAUCUACGUGCCUCCCUUGUAUCCAGGUGUGGCCUCAGGACUAAUGUUGGGUCAGUGAGAGGUACAGAUGAGCCCUGUGCCUCUGUUUCUCUCUCCCGUUCCUUCCUGCUAGUCGCAGUGAGGUUCUGAUGACUCCGGGCUUGGUGACCAUAGGGGGCCGAGCGGUGGAAGCAACUUGUCGAAGGAGUUGGAGCGACAGGUGAGAAGGAGCCUGACAGUGGGAAUACACCAGCCUGGAUGGCCUGGCCGUCGUCUUUUGAAGGAAAUAACUAUCUUUCUUUUGUUUUAAACCACUGUCUUCUGUUAUGGUUGAAUAGAUUCACAAUGAAGAUCUUUAAGAGUCAUUUCUUUUGAACCUAGUAACAACAGUGUGACAUCAACACUUUCCAGGCGAGGCCGAUAGAGAUCAUGUAACAAACCCAAGGCCGUGUAGCCAAGGAGGGCUGAAACAAAGACUGUAGCCUGGGCACUCAGCAUUCCAAUCCUGUGCUUUUAAUAAUAUACUUUUCUCCCCACUAUUUCAAUAAAUGACUGGCCUUCUUCCUUUUGAAGUUGGUUUUUCUGACUUCCUUCAUUUCCUGUUUAUAAAAAUCCACUGCUUGAUACUAGCUUCUAGAGUAGGGCCACUGGGUUGCCAACUACAAAUGGGGCAAUAAUACCCUUAUUUAUUAUAAGGGAACUUACACACACACACACACACACACACGCAAAUGCUAAUGGUACGUAUCAAUCUCAAAUGAAAUGCUGGGGGUCUUCCUCGCUGCUCAGACAUUGGCUUUUAGACUCUCUACACACUGAUCAUGAUCCUAAACCCACAAACCAAUCCUAUAAUUUGGGAUCAUACUCUCUGGAACGUCGAACCUCCUUGAUACCAUGGAAAGGGAAGAGAACCCUUGGAUAUCCCACCCUGUUCUGUUUUGUGCUUCAACCCAGAAGGAACAGGUCACUUCCGCUCACAACCCAUUGGGCAGAACUGGUCACAUGACCCCAACGAUCUUCCAGGGGGCUGGACAUGGACUCUUGAUAGGUGUACGGUAAGCUGGAGGUCUUUGCCAUCUCGUGCAAGCAUCAACAUGUCUACAGUCAUGAGUCCUCCUAAAAAAUAUUCUGAGUUCUUUCCUUAAUCUCUGGUGGAUGCUGGUGGACAUUUCUAAGCUCCAGUUAAUGGGAAAGCACAGACGCAGAAGGACUUCCAUGGGCAUUUCUGGCCAAGUGACAGAAUGGGUUAGGAUUUUAAUAUUUGAUGGUUAGGAGCAGUUAGGCAAGUGGUGCCUGAGAAUUAAAAGAGGAUACGUAGGGGCACCUGUGUGGCUCAGUGGGUUAAAGCUUCUGCCUUCAGCUCAGGUCAUGAUCCCAGGGUCCUGGGAUUGAGUCCUGCGUCGGGCUCUCUGCUCAGCAGGGAGCCUGCUCCCCCCGCCAACUGCCUGUCUCUCUGCCUAUUUGUGAUCUCUGUCUGUCAAAUAAAUAAAUUUUAAAAAAAGAAAGAAGAAAAAAAAUAAAAAAGAUAGUGGCCCAAGAAGAAAUAAGGCUAUUGAUCCAUCCGGUUCUGACUUCCAGCCACCGGGAAACCUUGGGCAGCUCCUGUGGCCCCUGCCCACUCUUCUACCCACUCCAGUCCUCCCAUAAGGUUGAGAGCAAAUGCACACACAGAUUUGGAAUUUGGACUUUGGAAAGAGAUGGACUCAAGAAUACGAAUGAAGAGAAAUGUAGAUCAUUAUUUAUAUCCUGAGUCCUCCAGUCUAAACACAUUAGAUUUUAUCUAGAAGUUAGACUAGCGGAAUGGUCAGCUUCUCUCUUUUAUAGUUGGCCAAUUCCAAUUAGUACCAAGGAUCUAGUUGAACCAGGGGCUGGCCUGUUUUUGCUCUGGAUAGCAAAUCAGUCUCUCAGAUAUUUACGUUGUCCCUAGCAUGUGCAUGGUACAACGCUAAUGAAUAAUGAAUACUUGCAUGUUUGUGAAGGAACAGUGCAAUGCACUCAAGGCAACAAGACAAGUUUUAUAGUCAAACAUGCCACUUGGGUAAUAUUUACAAAUAGCCCAGAAAACCUCACUCUUCAAAGUCUUUUUAGAAGUUUACACGCUUCUUUCUUUCUUUCUUUCUUUCUUUCUUUCUUUCUUUCUUUCUUUCUUUUUUAAAGAUUUUAUUUAUUUAUUUUAGAGCGUGGAGAAGGGAGUGAUGUGGGGAGGGGUGGGGACAGGCAGAGGGAGAUGGAGAGAGAGGGAAUUUUAACCGGUGUGGAGCCUGAUGUGGGGCUCGAUCUCAUGACCCUGAGAUCAUGACCUGAGUGAAAUCAAGAGUCAGAUGCACGACCGACUGAGUCACCCAGCGCCCCGUGUGCUUAUUUCUGAGAUGUUGUCUUGACAUCCUCUUUUGGAAAUAUCUUUAGGCCCUGGGUAAGGAUAGUAUCUGAAAGUUGACCCCACGACCGCUCUAAUGUCUUUUCUGGUACUGUUGUUAUCCAUUAGUUCACUAGCAUUGGCUUUCAAUACAUUUUGUGUGUUCUCAGAAAUCAGAUACAUGCUCAGCAGAGAGAGAAAGAGUAACCAUGCCUAUGGAAUAUCUAGAAAAAAUGUGCCAUAGCCUCUAAAGGCAAAUCCUUAAUUACACUUCAAAACUCUACGACAAAUUAUAUUUUCCAAAAGCUGUGCUUCUCCUCCUAUUUCUUAUCCCAUUACUUUCCAAGAAACUUGACACUCUCCCACUGAUAUGUGGAGUCUAAUCCCCUUCCCUUGCAAGUAGGUGAGUUUCUGACUCGUCAUCAGCAGAAGGCAGGGAAGCGAUGCUGUCGGACUUCAGUGUGGGGUCAUAAAAGGGAAUUUGGUUCUGCCAUGUGAGUCAAACACCCUCACCGGAGCCCCCAGAUCACCAUGUAAGGACCUUGACCACUUCUGGGGUAUAAAUACCCCUACACCCGUCAGUGUGGUGAACAUAGAAUUGGAAAGAGACGCACACAAGGGUUAUACUGUCCCCAGUAUAACCCCCUAGCCAGAGCUGUGGCAGAGCCUGGAGGAGGUCAGCUCUGUGGGGCCAACAGGUGCUCCUUGGUGUGUUUCAAAGUUCCUUCCUGUUUAUGGGAUGGCAGCCCAGAGCCAGGUAGCACUGAAAUCUGUGGGGUUUAUCUGUGCUUGCCUCUGGCCAAGGUAGAGAACGAGACACUUCUGGCUUCACAGUGGACAAACAGAACUGAACCCCUAAGCCAUCCAAAAGGACCCCCAAUUGGGCACUCUCUUCCCAUGAUACAGAAGAGUGUUGUGGACAGUGGCCGGCCUCCUGAGGGGUGACACGCAGACAGCCGUGGGCAGCUUGGGGCCUCAGCUCUCUGGGGUUCUGAAGGCCCUGCCUCCCUAAUGGGGCUAAGAAAACCUGUCCUGAGGUAUUUGGCUAGCAUGGAACACAUUUGGUGGGCAAGGAGCCAUAGGAGGACUGCGCCCACUUUGUGACAGCGUCGCCCAGUUUCUACUGAGACCACGUGCCCGCACCCACUGCCUGGGACAAUACCCACCCCCUCCCACCGACACCCGAGUCUGCAUGAGGGGGUCAGACAGAGAAGGCCGUGCUCUUUGCAAUGACAUGGUUUCUAUCUUAAAUUAAUACACUGCAUUUGGGGGGGGGGCGGAACUCAUAAAAGAAGAAAAUUAAAAUUGUACCCAAUCCCUCGCGCUGCCCAUUAAAAAUUCUGGCUUUGUUUAUAGUCUUUUAGAAUAUGCAGUCUGUACAGGUUGUAUACUCAAAAGUCUUUCCUGUAGCAUUGAUCACACCAUGGUCAUCUCCCCAUGCCCUUAAAUCUUAAAAAAUAACGUCGGGGGCUGUGCCAGGGUGGCUCUGUCACCUGAGUAUCUGACUCUUGGUUUUGGCUCAGGUCAUGAUCUCGGGGCCAUGGAUCGAGCCCCGUGUUGGGCUCCACGUUCAGUGCGGGGUCUGCUUGUCCCUCUCUCUCUGUUCGUGCCCCCCCCAAAAUAAACAAAAAAUUUAAAAAUAAUAAGGGUGCAUAAUAUUCCAUCAUUUGGAAGAAAACAACUUUUAUUUCCAGCUGUAGAGGCUAACUCUGUUUUUCCAUGAUGGAAAACCUCAUACGUCCGUCUCGUGCUCUUAGCAGACUGUGGCGCACUUGGAGCAACAGGAGAACAUGGUGGAAUGACAGCGUCAUUGUUAAGGCUCUUGAGAAACAUCACUGUUUUGCAGAAGGCUGCUCUCCAGUGUGAGCUCCCACCCGGGAGGCGGACCGGCGCAGGUCCAACAACAGUGAAAGGGGCAACGUGAAUUUGCAUGAUUGGCUUGGGAUCUCCACUUUUGAUGAAUACAGAAGCAUUGUACAUGUCUGCUGACCAUGUGUGUUUCUGCCAUUGACUCACAUUCUCUGUCCCUUUCCUUACAGAUAUCUCAGCCCUUUUACGAGUUUUUGCAAUAGCGUUCCACAUCAAAAUACAAUUCUUUGUGAUAUUUAGCAUAUCUUCCCAGUGUUACGGACAGCUACACUGAGUUCCAGUUUCUGUGGUCCGUCGCAAUCAUCUCUUACUUUUUAACUCACAUCUAAACCUUUAUUCCUACGUGGUCCUUCCCUCUCAAGAUCUGAAGUUUAUGUACAUCUUCGAUUGUAUGUUAAAAAUGCCUAUAGACUUAAUUUUGAUAUAUGGGGAGAACUAGGAAUUAUCUUUAAUCUUUUCCACAUGGUUGUUCCUAACAUCAUUUGUGGACUGACCUCCCUUUCCUCACGGAUCUUAACCAUGUACUAAUUUUUUAUCUAUAGUAUUUCUAUUAGGGUUUGUGUUUGAGACUCUGUUACCCCCUCCAUCUGCUGAUUGGGCUGUUGAAAUUUUUAUAAUAUCUUUGUUUUUCUUCUUUCCCCUCAACAAUAUAAUACGUUUACUAUGGUUCCUUCUCAAAAUAUUCUCGAUCAAGCUACAAAAACUUCCUGCUUCAGGCCUCCUCCCAUUAAAUUCUUGUUGAUCAGAGCAAGUGACAACUUUUCCCUGAGAAACCACUCUUUUAAUUUUUCCCUGCUCAUCCUGGUCUUGGGCUUUGGGAUGGAGAAGCAAACAAGAGUGAGUAAAGAGAGAGCUUGGGCCUCAUGAAGUCACCUUGACAGGAAAUUCAUUUGAGUUGUCACCUUCUUCUUAUUAAGGGUCAUGUGCCUGUUGUUGCUAAAAUGCAACAACUUGCAUUUAGCUUUGUCUCUGCCGUCUCCCAGCAGCGAGACACCCAAAAUUGAGAAUAGUAGCUGCUCAUUCAAGAACAGUCAGCAAAGGGACUAGGCUUUACUUGCAACUUUAUCAUGAAAUUAUCUCGGACACACUGCUGUCGUACUCUGGAAUUGUGCCACACCAUCUGUAAAAUGAGGCUUCCAGACCGGACUGCCUUCCUGCUGUAAUGCUGUGCAACUGGUCAUAGGCGGCCCCAUCUAAAUCCUGCCUUUGUUUCCCUGAAGCCAGCAUCUGUCAGAACUGUUCAAUGGUUCUGAGUUCAGACAUCUUCACAUUUUCCAGAGCCUUCUUGCUUGGUGAACAGUCCUUUCAAGAUCCAAGGAAGAAAAGCACCCCCAAACGUGAAGCAGAUAAAAAGGAAUAGCUAUCCAAAAGAAGAAGAAAUUUGUGUGUAUGUUUCUCUCUCUCACUCAUUAGUAUGACUUCUAACUGAUUCAAACAUUUGUUACACUUUUCCUGGAAACUUAGAAGUUUAAUUUGGAAUACAGUCAUGGAGAGAAAAUUCUGCUGAGUAUAUAAUGCAAAAAUAUGGUUGCUAAUGAGUGCCAUUGAUUUAACAGGAAAUAAGGAGAAAAAUACAAAUUUUGGAAGAAAAUAAGCAAUUUCAAAACGUUUCAAUUUGCUCCAAAUCCAACUUCAUUGCUUCAAGGGGUAGCUUGGAAAUUCUUCUCAUGAAAACGCAGUAAAUAUUACUGUAGACUGUUUUCUGGCCUGGAAGACGUGGGUAGAAAUGACAGAUUUCCUAGAACAACUUUUGGGAAAUUUGUGUUGAUGGUACCUCUGAUUUUAAGUUCUUCAUUCUUUCUUCCAGCAAAAACACACCAAGUCAUUGCAACAACACAGAACAGAGUUGCAAAUUCCUGCUUCUAUAAUUAAAAAAAAAAAAAAAAUCUUUUUGGUCUUUGUGUUCAGAUCGUGUGUGUGUAUGUGUGUUACACAUGUUUUGAGAUAGUUUGGGGACACACGACAAAAGAAUCUCCUUCUUCCCUACUAGGAAUUCUUGAUUUUACACCAUUAAUGGGCAUUUUCAAAACAUUAAGCACCAGGUUUGAAGUCUACAAAUAAAAUGCAAGUGCAGAUGCCGUGUUUACGCUCGCAUUAACACUUCAUAAGCAGUUCAUUAAACUGAUAACACUUUAAACAGUAACACUGGCUCUUUCAGACUCUCUCAGCCUGUAAUUGUCCCGAGGCACCAAAUGAACCCUUUCUAGGCUGGGAACCACAGGAAUUUACAUUCUUGACGUGUGUCUCUUAAUUAUGGACACCCUGGGCCCUGGCCGAUUCAGAGAGGGCCUGGCUCAGGCCAGCACGGCCCACUGACUGCAGGCACAGGCACAGGUCAGGGGCUGUCUGCUGGGAGACAGCCACCACGCAAGGAAACGGGCCUCGGGACAGGGCCGGGGCAGUAGCCGGAACAAGGUCACCCCACGACUUUCCUGAAACACUUCAGCUGGGUUUGUGCUGACCCUCUCUGACCAGAAACCAGUUUCCAAAGGACCCAUCUCCCUGUUCAUUUCUAGUGAGUUUCCUUUCUAGAAGCAGCAAUCCCCACAGCCCCAGUCCUCUCUAGAAACGGGAGAGCCUGUGCAGGCCUUCUCCCUGGCAUGAACUAGGGCCCGAGGGGCUGUGUUAUCAGAGUGGACGUGGACCGGCGGGCACUUCAGUCCUCUUUCAGGAACGACAUCAGGAUGACCUGUCCCAUCGCCAUUGGAGCUCUGCAUGCCCCUCACUGAAUUCCACAACCAGGAGGUUCUUCCUGUUUGGGAAGACGACACAGAAGCCUGCCUGGCCACAAAGGGAUGAUGAUUUCAGAUCCCCCGGGGCUUGAGCCCAGGGCGUCCGCCCCAGUAAGACUUUUCUAGCAUCAUCUCCCUCAUCCUGCCAACUGGUCGGGACUCGUAUCCUCACUUUGCAAAAGGGGAAAGGGAAGCAAAGGCGGAGACGGAAUUGGAACUCUAGUCCACCCCCGCUCCCACGACAGGGCUGUGGCCUCUACGCCAUGGCCCCCUCUGAGGGCACGGGGUGUGCUGGGCAGUGAGUUAGAGGUUCUCAAAGCCCGGCUCCUGGAGUUUCAGCCCGAGGGCAGUGAGAACCCAGCUCCUCUCGCACCUUCUGCCAGGCCAGGGCCGCUGCCCCGAGUUCCCAGGCCUCCAGCCCUGGGGCUGAUCUCCAGCUCCGCGGAACUGAUGGUAACUGAUCCGUGACAGAUGAUGGGUGUGCUGCUCCAGCCGGUGAGAAAGAGCCUCCGCGGUCUGGCAGGGUUUCUGCAUUUCAACGGGCUGCAUCUGAUGGCCAACGACAUCAGGGACAGGGAUUUGGACUUUCAGACAGUCCUGAUUCGAGUGCAUUCACCUGCGCACUUAGUGACUUUACUCAGCACUCACCAUGUGUUCUCAAGACAGAGCUAACCCUGGGGCACUGGAUUCCUACCCUUGUGGAGGCAGCGCAGUGGGGAAGACAGACGGUAGACCAGAAACUGCACCUGAGAAAGUGGACACGAACGGGUCCCUGCUGUAAUCGGCACUGUGACGAGGAUGUUCUGCAGGUGCUGAGGUACAGACCUGGGAUCCAUGUCUUCAAGGACACCUGGUGCUCAUUAACCGCGCGGCCUCCUUCACGCCCGACACCCGCCUAGUCGUUCGCUUUGUAAGUGAAGAGCAUGAAGACUUCCUUCCGCCCGCUGUUCCCCUGCGGACACCAGUCUGUGGCACCGGCCAUGCAGGUGCCUCCAGUGUCAUUCCCUUCUGAUACCUGCCAGGUUGUCCUCCCACAGCUCCCGAGCAUAGUCUGGACUGGAGGGAUUUUCCUUAUUGAAAGUAGGGUCCCUUUGGGGCGCCUGGGUGAUUCAGUCACGGUAAAGCGGCUGCUUUCAGCUCAGGUCAUGAUCCCAGGGUCGCGGGAUCAAGUCCCUCGUUGGGCUCCCUGCUCAGCGGGGAGCAUGCUUCUCCCUCUGUCCCUACUUCUGCUUGUGCUCUCUCUCUCACUCUCUCAAAUAAACAAAUAAAAUCUCUUUUUAAAAAAGAAGACUCGAGGAGCCUGGGUGGCUCAGUGGGUUAAGCCUCUGCCUUCGGCUCAGGUCAUGAUCUCAGGGUCCUGGGAUCGAGCCCCGCAUUGGGCUCUCUGCUCAGUUGGGGAGCCUGCUUCCCUCCUCUCUCUCUGCCUACUUGUGAUCUCUGUCAAAUAAAUAAAUAAAAUCUUAAAAAAAAAAUAAAAUAAAAAGAAGACCGUAUAGUCACUCUAAGAAGACAGUGGCAGUGCCCUGGGGGUUUUGAAGUGAAAAUGAUCCUAUGCUCAGAGAGAACAAUGCCCCGAGGGCCAGGAGAGCAGAGAGUUUGGAUCUCUGAGGUCCAGGGCAA
Molecule: long non-coding RNA, 15844 nt
Organism: Mustela lutreola (European mink)
Lineage: Eukaryota; Metazoa; Chordata; Mammalia; Carnivora; Mustelidae
Exons: 3
Source: RefSeq, a predicted model, not a curated record